This 329-nucleotide small RNA is filed under the name Pan troglodytes (chimpanzee). RNAcentral describes it as "processed transcript". Lineage: Eukaryota; Metazoa; Chordata; Mammalia; Primates; Hominidae. The record is from RNAcentral.
GCGGGCAUCUUUCAGCCGAGCAUGUCUCUACCUCUAUCUCCUCUCCCAGGUCAAGCCGCUGCUGCAGGUGAGCCGGCAGGAGGAGGAGAUGAUGGCCAAGGAGGAAGAGCUGGUGAAGGUCAGAGAGAAGCAGCUGGCUGCAGAGAACAGGCUCACAGAGAUGGAGACGCUGCAGUCUCAGCUCAUGGCAGAGAAAUUGCAGCUGCAGGAGCAGCUCCAGGCAGAAACCGAGCUGUGUGCCGAGGCUGAGGAGCUCCGGGCCCGCCUGACCGCCAAGAAGCAGGAACUAGAAGAGAUCUGCCAUGACCUAGAGGCCAGGGUGGAGGAGG